This 244-nucleotide unclassified non-coding RNA is filed under the name Hevea brasiliensis (rubber tree). The record is from RNAcentral. Lineage: Eukaryota; Viridiplantae; Streptophyta; Magnoliopsida; Malpighiales; Euphorbiaceae.
AAAAAUAGUGAUGUUAAUUCUACUUCUGGAGCUUGCUCUUCUUGUGUCAUAUUUAACAAAGAAGAGGAGCCAAGACCUGGUGGAGCAACUGAUUGUCCUUCUACAACAACAUUGGAAUAGCAAGACCGCAUCUUCUUCUAGUUUUGAUGGCUUUCCUCAUCACCAUCUGCUGAUAGUUUCCUUUUGUUCUCAACAUAUGAGAUGAGUUGAGAGUCAAGGUUGAUGAUAGGGAGGCCUUCUUCAU